Molecule: ribosomal RNA, 115 nt
Filed under: Schizosaccharomyces osmophilus
Lineage: Eukaryota; Fungi; Ascomycota; Schizosaccharomycetes; Schizosaccharomycetales; Schizosaccharomycetaceae
Source: RNAcentral
ACGGCCACACCUAGGCGAAAACACCAGUUCCCGUCCGAUCACUGCAGUUAAGCGUCUGAGGGUCUCGUUAGUACUAUGAUUGGAGACAACAUGGGAAUCCGGGAUGCUGUAGGCU